GACGAACGCUGGCGGCGUGCUUAACACAUGCAAGUCGAACGGAAAGGCCCUGCUUUUGUUGGGUGCUCGAGUGGCGAGCGGGUGAGUAACACGUGAGUAACCUGCCCUUGACUUUGGGAUAACUUCAGGAAACUGGGGCUAAUACCGGAUAGGAGCUCCUGCUGCAUGGUGGGGGUUGGAAAGUUUCGGCGGUUGGGGAUGGACUCGCGGCUUAUCAGCUUGUUGGUGGGGUAGUGGCUUACCGAGGCUUUGACGGGUAGCCGGCCUGAGAGGGUGACCGGCCACAAUGGGACUGAGAUACGGCCCAGACGCCUACGGGAGGCAGCAGUGGGGAAUAUUGCACAAUGGGCGGAAGCCUGAUGCAGCAACGCCGCGUGCGGGAUGACGGCCUUCGGGUUGUAAACCGCUUUCGCCUGUGACGAAGCGUGAGUGACGGUAAUGGGUAAAGAAGCACCGGCUAACUACGUG
This 468-nucleotide ribosomal RNA is filed under the name uncultured bacterium. Its description in RNAcentral is "partial 16S ribosomal RNA". It matches the Rfam family "Bacterial small subunit ribosomal RNA", at positions 28 to 507 of the family's 1533-position model. The record is from RNAcentral.